UAGGGAAUCUUCCGCAAUGGGCGAAAGCCUGACGGAGCAACGCCGCGUGAGUGAUGAAGGUCUUCGGAUCGUAAAACUCUGUUAUUAGGGAAGAACAAAUGUGUAAGUAACUAUGCACGUCUUGACGGUACCUAAUCAGAAAGCCACGGCUAACUACGUGCCAGCAGCCGCGGUAAUACGUAGGUGGCAAGCGUUAUCCGGAAUUAUUGGGCGUAAAGCGCGCGUAGGCGGUUUUUUAAGUCUGAUGUGAAAGCCCACGGCUCAACCGUGGAGGGUCAUUGGAAACUGGAGAACUUGAGUGCAGAAGAGGAAAGUGGAAUUCCAUGUGGAGCGGUGAAAUGCGCAGAGAUAUGGAGGAACACCAGUGGCGAAGGCGACUUUCUGGUCUGUAACUGACGCUGAUGUGCGAAAGCGUGGGGAUCAAACAGG
Molecule: ribosomal RNA, 429 nt
Filed under: Actinomycetes bacterium
Lineage: Bacteria; Bacillati; Actinomycetota; Actinomycetes
Description: Actinobacteria bacterium partial 16S ribosomal RNA
Rfam family: Bacterial small subunit ribosomal RNA
Source: RNAcentral